AGCAUGCGCUGGGGCGGUUCCCGGCCGAGUGUGGAGCGGCUGGGAUAAGGAUCAGCACCUCCAAAUCUGAGGCCAUGGUUCUCAGCAGGAAACCAAUGGAUUGCCUACUACAGGUAAGGAA
Long non-coding RNA from Thalassophryne amazonica, 121 nucleotides. RefSeq lists it as uncharacterized. The record is from RefSeq and is a predicted model, not a curated record. Lineage: Eukaryota; Metazoa; Chordata; Actinopteri; Batrachoidiformes; Batrachoididae. The transcript has 3 exons.